This 473-nucleotide ribosomal RNA is filed under the name uncultured bacterium. RNAcentral describes it as "bacterial SSU rRNA". It matches the Rfam family "Bacterial small subunit ribosomal RNA", at positions 30 to 507 of the family's 1533-position model. The record is from RNAcentral.
AUUGAACGCUGGCGGCAGGCUUAACACAUGCAAGUCGAGCGGAGACUUCGGUCUUAGCGGCGAACGGGUGAGGAAUGCCUGGGAAUCUGCCUGUUAGUGGGGGAUAACGAAUCGAAAGGUUCGCUAAUACCGCAUACGUCCUACGGGAGAAAGCAGGGGACCUUCGGGCCUUGCGCUAACAGAUGAGCCCAGGUCGGAUUAGCUAGUAGGUGGGGUAAAGGCUCACCAAGCCAAAGAUGGGUAGCUGGUCUGAGAGGACGAUCAGCCACACUGGAACUGAGACACGGUCCAGACUCCUACGGGAGGCAGCAGAGGGGAAUCUUGCGCAAUGGACGAAAGUCUGACGCAGCCAUGCCGCGUGAGUGAUGAAGGCCCUCGGGUCGUAAAGCUCUGUCCAAGGGGACGAAAAAGUCAUUGGCGAAUAACCGGUGGCCCUGACGGUACCCUUGAAGAAAGCACCGGCUAACUCCGUG